GUGAGCAUAGUUUAAAUAAAACAUUAGAUUGUGAUUCUAAAAAUAGAAGUUUAAAUCUUCUUGCUGACC
Molecule: transfer RNA, 69 nt
Filed under: Trimma sp. ROM-80448
Lineage: Eukaryota; Metazoa; Chordata; Actinopteri; Gobiiformes; Gobiidae
Description: tRNA-His
Rfam family: tRNA
About the family: Transfer RNA (tRNA) molecules are approximately 80 nucleotides in length. Their secondary structure includes four short double-helical elements and three loops (D, anti-codon, and T loops).
Source: RNAcentral